RNAcentral lists this ribosomal RNA (860 nucleotides) under Sanghuangporus alpinus. Its description in RNAcentral is "partial 25S large subunit ribosomal RNA". It matches the Rfam family "Eukaryotic large subunit ribosomal RNA", at positions 102 to 938 of the family's 3401-position model. Lineage: Eukaryota; Fungi; Basidiomycota; Agaricomycetes; Hymenochaetales; Hymenochaetaceae. The record is from RNAcentral.
GAAGAGCUCAAAUUUAAAAUCUGGCGGCCUUCUGGACGUCCGAGUUGUAGUCUGGAGAAGUGUUAUCCGCGUCGGACCGUGUACAAGUCUCCUGGAACGGAGCGUCGUAGAGGGUGAGAAUCCCGUCCAUGACACGGACGCCCGAUGCUAUGUGAGGCACUCUCAAAGAGUCGAGUUGUUUGGGAAUGCAGCUCAAAAUGGGUGGUAAAUUCCAUCUAAAGCUAAAUAUUGGCGAGAGACCGAUAGCGAACAAGUACCGUGAGGGAAAGAUGAAAAGCACUUUGGAAAGAGAGUUAAACAGUACGUGAAAUUGUUGAAAGGGAAACGCUUGAAGUCAGUCGCGUCCCGCGGAACUCAGCCUGGUUUCGACCUGGUGUACUUUCCAUGUGGACGGGUCAACAUCAAUUUCGGCCGGUGGACAAGGGCGAGGGGAAUGUAGCGUUGCUUCGGCGACGUGUUAUAGCCCCCCGUCGUAUACACUGGUUGGGAUUGAGGACCGCAGCACGCCCUUGUGGCCGGGGGUUCGCCCCACGUAACGUGCUUAGGAUGUUGGCAUAAUGGCUUUAAGCGACCCGUCUUGAAACACGGACCAAGGAGUCUAACAUGCUUGCGAGUGUUCGGGUGGAAAACCCUUGCGCGUAAUGAAAGUGAAAGUUGGGAACCUCCGCGAGGGGGUGCACCGACGCCCGGCCCUGACGUUCUCUGACGGUGCCGCGGUAGAGCACGUAUGUUGGGACCCGAAAGAUGGUGAACUAUGCCUGAAUAGGGCGAAGCCAGAGGAAACUCUGGUGGAGGCUCGUAGCGAUUCUGACGUGCAAAUCGAUCGUCAAAUUUGGGUAUAGGGGCGAAAGACUAAUCGA